RNAcentral lists this ribosomal RNA (430 nucleotides) under Pseudomonadota bacterium. RNAcentral's name for it is "Proteobacteria bacterium partial 16S ribosomal RNA". It matches the Rfam family "Bacterial small subunit ribosomal RNA", at positions 355 to 776 of the family's 1533-position model. Lineage: Bacteria; Pseudomonadati; Pseudomonadota. The record is from RNAcentral.
UGGGGAAUAUUGGACAAUGGGGGGAACCCUGAUCCAGCCAUGCCGCGUGUGUGAAGAAGGCCUUAUGGUUGUAAAGCACUUUAAGCGAGGAGGAGGGUACUGGUAUUAAUACUACCAGCUACUGGACGUUACUCGCAGAAUAAGCACCGGCUAACUCUGUGCCAGCAGCCGCGGUAAUACAGAGGGUGCGAGCGUUAAUCGGAUUUACUGGGCGUAAAGCGUGCGUAGGCGGCUAAUUGAGUCGGAUGUGAAAUCCCCGAGCUUAACUUGGGAAUUGCAUUCGAUACUGGUUAGCUAGAGUGUGGGAGAGGAUGGUAGAAUUCCAGGUGUAGCGGUGAAAUGCGUAGAGAUCUGGAGGAAUACCGAUGGCGAAGGCAGCCAUCUGGCCUAACACGGACGCUGAGGUACGAAAGCAUGGGGAGCAAACAGG